RNAcentral lists this transfer RNA (75 nucleotides) under Mus musculus (house mouse). Its description in RNAcentral is "tRNA-Arg". The record is from RNAcentral. Lineage: Eukaryota; Metazoa; Chordata; Mammalia; Rodentia; Muridae.
GGCUGGAGAGAUGGCUCAGCGGUUGAGAGCACUGACUCCUCUUCCAAAGGUCUUGAGUUCAAACCCCAGCAGCCA